GGGACGAGCCCAGCACCGAAUCCCCCGGCAUGCAGCCGGCGGGAAAUGUGGUGUGCGGGACGCCAACUGUCGUCCGCGCUGGAGACCGAAGUCCUCCUGAUCGGGGCCUCUCCCACAGCGGGUGUCAGGCCUUUACUGGUCUCCGGCCGGGCGGCUGCGAGCGUCUCAGGAGUCGGGUUGUUUGGGAAUGCAGCCCAAAGCGGGUGGUAAACUCCAUCUAAG
RNAcentral lists this ribosomal RNA (222 nucleotides) under Mekongia lithophaga. Its description in RNAcentral is "partial 28S rRNA". It matches the Rfam family "Eukaryotic large subunit ribosomal RNA", at positions 100 to 314 of the family's 3401-position model. Lineage: Eukaryota; Metazoa; Mollusca; Gastropoda; Architaenioglossa; Viviparidae. The record is from RNAcentral.